This 110-nucleotide transfer RNA is filed under the name Thermoproteota archaeon. RNAcentral describes it as "tRNA-Glu". The record is from RNAcentral. Lineage: Archaea; Thermoproteati; Thermoproteota.
GCUCCGGUGGUGUAGUCCGGUUAAGCAUCUCGCCCUCUCAAGGCGAAGAUCACGGGUUCAAACAACUGUGAGGUCAUAGCUUCCAGGGGGGACACAUCCCGUCCGGAGCA